Molecule: non-coding RNA, 31 nt
Filed under: Mus musculus (house mouse)
Lineage: Eukaryota; Metazoa; Chordata; Mammalia; Rodentia; Muridae
Source: RNAcentral
UNGCUUCAAAACAGAUCAGUUGCCAGUGGGU